ACACUCCUGCGGGAGGCAGCAGUGGGGAAUUUUGGACAAUGGGCGAAAGCCUGAUCCAGCAAUGCCGCGUGUGUGAAGAAGGCCUUCGGGUUGUAAAGCACUUUUGUCCGGAAAGAAAUCCUUGGCUCUAAUACAGUCGGGGGAUGACGGUACCGGAAGAAUAAGCACCGGCUAACUACGUGCCAGCAGCCGCGGUAAUACGGAGGGUGCGAGCGUUAAUCGGAAUUACUGGGCGUAAAGCGUGCGCAGGCGGUUUGCUAAGACCGAUGUGAAAUCCCCGGGCUCAACCUGGGAACUGCAUUGGUGACUGGCAGGCUAGAGUAUGGCAGAGGGGGGUAGAAUUCCACGUGUAGCAGUGAAAUGCGUAGAGAUGUGGAGGAAUACCGAUGGCGAAGGCAGCCCCCUGGGCCAAUACUGACGCUCAUGCACGAAAGCGUGGGGAGCAAACAGGAUUAGAUACCCCGGUAGUCCCAUG
Molecule: ribosomal RNA, 475 nt
Filed under: uncultured organism
Description: partial 16S ribosomal RNA
Rfam family: Bacterial small subunit ribosomal RNA
Source: RNAcentral